Molecule: ribosomal RNA, 305 nt
Filed under: uncultured bacterium
Lineage: Bacteria
Description: bacterial SSU rRNA
Rfam family: Bacterial small subunit ribosomal RNA
Source: RNAcentral
AGCCUACGGGAGGCAGCAGUGGGGGAUAUUGCACAAUGGGCGCAAGCCUGAUGCAGCGACGCCGCGUGAGCGAAGAAGUAUUUCGGUAUGUAAAGCUCUAUCAGCAGGGAAGAAAAUGACGGUACCUGACUAAGAAGCUCCGGCUAAAUACGUGCCAGCAGCCGCGGUAAUACGUAUGGAGCAAGCGUUAUCCGGAAUUACUGGGUGUAAAGGGAGCGUAGACGGCUGUGCAAGUCUGGAGUGAAAGGUACCGGCUCAACCGGUACAGGCUCUGGAAACUGGCGGGCUAGAGAGCAGGAGAGGGG